This 20-nucleotide small nuclear RNA is filed under the name Arabidopsis thaliana (thale cress). RNAcentral describes it as "snRNA_16260". The record is from RNAcentral. Lineage: Eukaryota; Viridiplantae; Streptophyta; Magnoliopsida; Brassicales; Brassicaceae.
AUCAAUACAUUUAAACCCUU